This 450-nucleotide ribosomal RNA is filed under the name uncultured Glomus. Its description in RNAcentral is "SSU rRNA". It matches the Rfam family "Eukaryotic small subunit ribosomal RNA", at positions 569 to 1023 of the family's 1831-position model. Lineage: Eukaryota; Fungi; Glomeromycota; Glomeromycetes; Glomerales; Glomeraceae. The record is from RNAcentral.
AGCAGCCGCGGUAAUUCCAGCUCCAAUAGCGUAUAUUAAAGUUGUUGCAGUUAAAAAGCUCGUAGUUGAAUUUCGGGGUCAGUAGGUUGGUCAUGCCACUGGUAUGUACUGGCCUCACUGAUUCCUCCUUCCUGAUGAGCCGUAAUGCCAUUAAUUUGGUGUUGCGAGGAAUCUGGACUGUUACUUUGAAAAAUUAGAGUGUUUAAAGCAGGCUAACGCUUAGAAUACAUUAGCAUGGAAUAAUGAAAUAGGACGUUCGAUCUUAUUUUGUUGGUUUCUAAGAUUGACGUAAUGAUUAAUAGGGAUAGUUGGGGGCAUUAGUAUUCAAUUGUCAGAGGUGAAAUUCUUGGAUUUAUUGAAGACUAACUACUGCGAAAGCAUUUGCCAAGGAUGUUUUCAUUAAUCAAGAACGAAAGUUAGGGGAUCGAAGACGAUCAGAUACCGUCGUAG